Molecule: ribosomal RNA, 469 nt
Filed under: uncultured fungus
Lineage: Eukaryota; Fungi
Description: eukaryotic LSU rRNA
Rfam family: Eukaryotic large subunit ribosomal RNA
Source: RNAcentral
GACCUCAAAUCGGGUGGGACUACCCGCUGAACUUAAGCAUAUCAAUAAGCGGAGGAAAAGAAACUAACAAGGAUUCCCCUAGUAACGGCGAGUGAAGAGGGAAAAGCUCAAAUUUUGAAUCUGGUGCCUUUGGUGCCCGAGUUGUAAUCUAGAGAAGUGUUUUCUGCCUUGGACCACACAUAAAUUCCCUGGAAUGGGGUGUCAUAGAGGGUGAGAAUCCCGUUUGUGGUGUGGACUACCUUGGCUCUGUGAUACACUCUCAACGAGUCGAGUUGUUUGGGAAUGCAGCUCAAAAUGGGUGGUAAAUUCCAUCUAAAGCUAAAUACUGGCGAGAGACCGAUAGCGAACAAGUACCNGUGAGGGNAAAGAUGAAAAAGCANUUUGGNAAAGAGAGUGAAACAAGUACGUUGAAAUUGUUGAAAGGGAAANGUUUUGAANNUCAGUUCACAAUUGGGUCGGGAAUUCCAGC